This 403-nucleotide ribosomal RNA is filed under the name uncultured bacterium. RNAcentral's name for it is "partial 16S ribosomal RNA". It matches the Rfam family "Bacterial small subunit ribosomal RNA", at positions 30 to 526 of the family's 1533-position model. The record is from RNAcentral.
AUUGAACGCUGGCGGCAGGCCUAACACAUGCAAGUCGAGCGAGCGGCGGAUGGGUGAGUAAUGUAUGGGGACUGCACGAUAGAGGGGGAUAAGUACUGGAAACGGUGGCUAAUACCGCAUACUACAGGAUAACCCUUAUGGUAUUAGCUAGGAGGUGGGGUAAAGGCUCAACUAGGCGACGAUCUCUAGCUGGUCUGAGAGGAUGAUCGGCCACACGGGGACGGAGACACGGCCCAGAGUCCUACGGAGGCAGCAGUGGGGAAUAUUGCACAAUGGGCGCAAGCCUAAUACAUCCAUGCCGCGUGGAUGAAGAAGGCCUUAGGGUUGUAAAGUACUUUCAGCGGGGAGGCGUUACCCGCAGAAGAAGCACCGGCUAACUCCGUGCCAGCAGCCGCGGUAAUAC